CUUAUAGCAUAUAUGCUCAUCAUGUAUGUUACAUUUGGAAGAAACGAAUCAUAUUUCUUAUUUGAUUCAUUAUAUUUACCAUGUUUCAUUCUAUUACUCUCAGCUUUAUAUAACAAGCUGUCAUAUAUUUGUAUUCAUAUUUAUAUGUAUGUAUGUAUAUAUGUGUGUGUGUGUGUGUACGCGUGCAUGUGGAUGUGUACUUUGUUCAAUCAACUGAGUGAGAAUCUUCUAAUUCAUUUAGAAUAGGUCUUAGUUUUUUAUCAUUUACAACUUAUAAUAUCUAGAAUUUGUUAGUUUUGAUAGCAAAAAUAAUGACUCAUGCAUUCUUGGUUCCUUAACAGACUUUUGUUUGUGAGGUUUUACUAGAAUUGCUUUAUACAAAGUUAAAUUGAAUGAGUUUUACAAAAAUGUCUGUUUGGUUGCUUUUCAUAAAACUUGUUUAACCGGUAGGUCAUACAACCUGAAAAAAUAUGCUCAAUGAAAAACAGCCUCCCUUUGUUUUCAUGAAGCCUGUUUCACAGAAAAUUAGGUUUUAUGAUUAUCUGUUUUAAGAAAUCUUACAGACAAGCCAACAGCCCCUAAGUGAUUUUGACCUUCUACCUAUGGAGUAUGGAGCCUUCCCUGCAAGCUAUCAUGCAGAGGAAGAAAGUCGAAAACUACUCACUUCUAUGAGAUUCAAACAUAAAUCUAUGUUUACAUGCAUCCUUGCAACACAGACUUAAUCCUGGCCAGAAUUCUCAAGUUGAGCCCUCUUCUUGUGCUGGAAAAGAUGAAUCAGACAUUAUAAUUGGCCUUUGCACAUCUACAACAGCAAUGAUACUGCAGCUAAUUUAUUACAGCAAAUAGAUGAUUCAAAAGUACUCAUGAAAUUAAGUGUGGGUUCCUAACCACUUCAGCGGAAGAGGUGGAACUAAAGAAGAGGUUGGCUUGGGUACAUUUUUUUUCAAAGGAAUCAGUAGACAGUAAGUGCCUAAAGAAGAGGUUGGGAACGGUAUGCUUGUAAAAUAGAGCAGACAAAAUUUGUUCUCCAGGGCAAAGAAAAUGCCGCAGUCUUUUCCUCAUAUAGAGGUUUUUUGAAUCCAUGCGCCCUACAAGUGCCACACUUCCCUUCUUUUAUGAAGCGCAAUGAUCAUGAGGGGCCAGAACUUAACCCUCCACUGGCUAAUUAAAUUUGUAAUUGAUAAUUACUUAUUUUAAAAGAUUAUAGCUUGUGCAUACUCAGUUGCUUUAUGUAAAUUCCAUCUAUCCAUUUUACAAUCCUUUUUGGUUUAAAGAUCAUGUUACCCACCUUUUUUAUCUGAUUUUUUUUCUAGUUCGAUAUCCAAAUUAAUUGGUAUUGCAUCUACUCCCUUCCAAAUUGCUCUAUGCUAGAACCAUUGCUCUGGUAAAGUUCUCAUUCAAGAACUUUUAAAACACUCUUUCCAUCUCUAGCUUUUGCAAUACAUCCAGAGCACCUUUAUUUGAAUGAAAAGUUUGAAAGCGCUCUUUAUAUGUGGUACUACAAGUCUACACCUUCUUGCAAGUGCAAUCUUGUUGUCAUGUUUUCCUUG
Phoenix dactylifera (date palm) is the source of this 1550-nucleotide non-coding RNA. Lineage: Eukaryota; Viridiplantae; Streptophyta; Magnoliopsida; Arecales; Arecaceae. The record is from RefSeq and is a predicted model, not a curated record.